This is a ribosomal RNA of 678 nucleotides. It matches the Rfam family "Archaeal small subunit ribosomal RNA", at positions 1 to 657 of the family's 1478-position model.
ACCCCGGUUGAUCCUGCCGGACCCGACUGCUAUCGGGGUGAGACUAAGCCAUGCGAGUCUGCCCCCUCAGCCAUGGGAGGGGGCGGCGCACGGCUCAGUAACACGUGGCUAACCUACCCUCAGGACGGGGAUAACCCCGGGAAACUGGGGAUAAUCCCCGAUAGGUGAGGGAUCCUGGAAUGGUUCCUCGCCGAAAGGGCUCUCGGACCAUGCUUCCGAGAGCCGCCUGAGGAUGGGGCUGCGGCCUAUCAGGUAGUUGGUGGGGUAACGGCCCACCAAGCCGAUAACGGGUACGGGCCCUGAGAGGGGGAGCCCGGAGAUGGGCACUGAGACAAGGGCCCAGGCCCUACGGGGCGCAGCAGGCGCGAAACCUCCGCAAUGCGCGCAAGCGCGACGGGGCCACCCCGAGUGCCACCCGCUGAGGGUGGCUUUUCCCCGGUGUAAGAAGCCGGGGGAAUAAGCGGGGGGCAAGCCUGGUGUCAGCCGCCGCGGUAAUACCAGCCCCGCGAGUGGUCGGGAUGUUUACUGGGCCUAAAGCAUCCGUAGCCGGCCCGGUAAGUCCUCCUUGAAAUCCUCGGGCUCAACCCGAGGGCUGGGGAGGAUACUGCCGGGCUAGGGGGCGGGAGAGGCCGAGAGUACUCCCGGGGUAGGGGCGAAAUCCUGUAAUCCCGGGAGGAC